AUGUAGUAGCGAGUUUUAAAUGGAAAGUGUGCGAGGCUAGGAUACCAAGAUACAAAUAUCGGUUUCCUCACAACACAAACAGCUAGUUAGCCUCCAAGCUAGCUGAAAUCUCCAAACUGCAGCUGUCAAGAAAACUACAUUGGAGGAAAAAGUACAAGAAAAUGGAAGUUGUCAAACAUGGUCCAGGAUCUUUCCAUUCAGACUGACUCUCUAUUCAGAGGCGAUUAGUGGUCAUCUCCUUCUCUUCCAACAGCCCCGUGGUCAGCCCAGUUUUCAGAAUAGAUGCGGCCAUCCCUGAGAAACUAAAUCCUAAGGAAGCUGAGGGGAGCGGGAGAAGCGCAGCUCAGAGUCCCGGGACAGU
Molecule: long non-coding RNA, 361 nt
Organism: Etheostoma spectabile (orangethroat darter)
Lineage: Eukaryota; Metazoa; Chordata; Actinopteri; Perciformes; Percidae
Exons: 4
Source: RefSeq, a predicted model, not a curated record